This is a long non-coding RNA of Trachemys scripta elegans, 370 nucleotides long. RefSeq lists it as uncharacterized. The record is from RefSeq and is a predicted model, not a curated record. Lineage: Eukaryota; Metazoa; Chordata; Testudines; Emydidae. The transcript is spliced from 4 exons.
CUGUUAAAGGCAGGAAUCCCAGCCAGGAAUGUCUGCACUCCUGUGUCGGUGGAGGUUAUGUGCUCUUGGCUGGAGGAUUACUCAUAACUCUCCUUGUAAUGUCACUACAUGUCUGGGUCUCUAUGUACGGACAGUUAUGGAUGAAGAGUUCACAGAUAUGUAUGCAGUUCCCACUGAUUUCAAAUGGAGUUGCACAUGUAUCCAAUGUUGUCCAUCGUACUUUCCAAUCUGAAAAUACACACCGCAAAUAUAAAGAAAAUGAAAAUGCUGAGUCUCCAUGGACAUUUACACUCCCUUCUGCUUUAACUAGGAAGAAAAUACAGCACAAGCAUAGGACACAGCCUCAAGAUCAGAGCUGCCAGACCUCAAC